UCCCUGGUGGUCCAGUGGUUAGGACUUGGUGCUUUCACUGCUGAGGGCCUGGGUUCGAUCCCUGGUUGGGGAA
Molecule: non-coding RNA, 73 nt
Organism: Bos taurus (domestic cattle)
Lineage: Eukaryota; Metazoa; Chordata; Mammalia; Artiodactyla; Bovidae
Source: Rfam